This 433-nucleotide ribosomal RNA is filed under the name uncultured bacterium. RNAcentral describes it as "partial 16S ribosomal RNA". It matches the Rfam family "Bacterial small subunit ribosomal RNA", at positions 29 to 507 of the family's 1533-position model. The record is from RNAcentral.
AACGAACGCUGGCGGCAUGCCUAGCACAUGCAAGUCGAACGAGCCCUUCGGGUCUAGUGGCGCACGGGUGCGUAACGCGUGGGAACCUGCACUUAGGUUCGGCAUAACUCCCCGAAAGGGGUGCUAAUACCGGAUAAUGUCUUCGGACCAAAGAUUUAUCGCCUUUGGAUGGGCCCGCGUUGGAUUAGCUAGUUGGUAAGGUAAAAGCCUACCCAAGCGACGAUCCAUAGCUGGUCUGAGAGGAAGGUUAGCCACACUGGGACUGGGGACAGGCCCAGAAUCCUACGGGAGGGGAGAAGGGGGGAUAGUGGAACAAGGGGCAAAGGCUGAACCCAGCAGGACCGGAGAAGUAUGGAGGUCGGGAGGGUGGAAAGCUUAUUUACCCGGGAUGAUAAUGACAGUACCGGGAGAAUAAGCGCCGGCUAACUCCGUG